This 571-nucleotide long non-coding RNA is filed under the name Gallus gallus (chicken). Lineage: Eukaryota; Metazoa; Chordata; Aves; Galliformes; Phasianidae. The record is from RNAcentral.
UGGCUCCCUCGGUUUCUGUCUGAGAAGCAGUUUUAUUUUUUUGUUGUUUUAAAACAUUAUGAACACGAACUUUGUAGCUCUCAAAUUCGGAUGUAACAGAUGCCUGUUCGGCCUGUGCUGCUCUACAUUCUUCUCUCAAAGUUGCAAUUUUUUGCUGGUAAGCAUUCAAUGUACGCUGGUGCUGCUCCGAAGAAGUUCGUAGAUGUUCCUGGACUUUAUGCUUUUCUGACGUUAGUGCAGCUACUUGAAUCUUAAAGGCUUCCACUUGUUGCUGACUGGCUUCCAGUUCUCCUUUUAAUGAUGCCUGUAACAUCAGGUGGUCAUUUUCAGCUCGUUUUGAAUCAGCCAAUUCUUUUUUGGUUUUCACCAGGAGUUGUUUUAUCUUGGCAUUUCUUUCCUCGUCCUCUUGCAUCGUUGACUGAAGUGACUUUAUUUCUUCCUGUAGGGUCUCUUGCUUUUGUUUCUGAAUCCCCGUCUCUUGCUCAAGAUCUUCUAUUCUACUAUCUUUAUCAGUAAUCUUCUGAUUAAGUUCUUUUACCAGCUUUUCAUAAUCUGCUAUUUCCAUAUCCAU